Molecule: non-coding RNA, 72 nt
Organism: Lipotes vexillifer (Yangtze River dolphin)
Lineage: Eukaryota; Metazoa; Chordata; Mammalia; Artiodactyla; Lipotidae
Source: the annotation of a RefSeq genome assembly
UCCCUGGUGGUCCAGUGGUUAGGACUCAGCACUUCCACUGCUGGGGCCCAGGUAAGAUUCCUGGUUGGGGAA